This is a long non-coding RNA of Scylla paramamosain (green mud crab), 986 nucleotides long. RefSeq lists it as uncharacterized. The record is from RefSeq and is a predicted model, not a curated record. The transcript is spliced from 4 exons. NCBI's taxonomy places the organism in Eukaryota, Metazoa, Arthropoda, Malacostraca, Decapoda, Portunidae.
GAGUAUUUCCUAAGUUGUGUUUUAGUAAUGUUUCAGGUGUAAUAGAACCGAAUUCUUGAGAUAAAUGAAGGUGGACACAAGAAGAAGAAGAAAACAUUUCAAGGUGGGAGCUUGUGUGUCAACUCUCUUCUUACUUCACCAUAUUCUUUCUAGUUUUGGGGAAAUCUGUGCUGAAAAGACUUACCAAUUGAAAGCAACAAGAAUUGACAUUACCUGACCAAGACAUGACCAGAAACUGACAGUCACUUGCCACAACACCUCAGAGUAAAGAUGAGACUCAGCCGGGACACUGCAGCUCACAGACUCCUUGGUUCAGCCUGGCAGAUGAUGGUUUAUACAUUGCCCAGUGUGCAGAGGAAGAGGAACCCCAGUGGGGAAUCCAUACUGCAAGACAUCGGUUGAAGGAAGAACAGGAUUGAUGCAGGAGAGUGAAGGAUUGCCUUCUGCCUUGAUGCAAGAAAGCUCAUACCACCACUUCACUCCUGCCUUGACAGCUGAUUUAUGCUGCAGCCCACCAGUCCCUUCAAGUCUGGGGAGCCAGCAGGGACCAGCAGGUGAUCACUGCAGGAGCAUAGAUAUAAAUGGGCUGGCAGGAGUUGAAGCCAUGCUGAAGGAGAGGAUGAUGAACACUGGCAGAAUUGGAUCUUCUACGAUCAUGGAUGAGGUGGAGGAUGAACCAGGUGCCAGGUGAAGUGAAGUGCCAUCAUAGUUGAAGAAGAGGACCCAGCUCUUCAGUUGUCAACCCUGUGUCUUCAAGUACAAGUGGAGUGACUGAAGUGAAGUGGAUGAUGGCCUUUAUCAUCACAGUUAGCGAAUGUUGGAGAACCGGAGAGCUACUCGUCAGCCCAGCACUGCAUGGGAGGCUGGGAACACCUCUCAGCUCCAGCAUCCAGCAGCCUUUUCCCUCCAUGGAAAAAGAGGUGUACAAGUUUCAGAAAUUGCUUGUUGUGUUGAAAGAAUAAAGUUCAUUAUAAUCUGCCUUAUAA